RNAcentral lists this unclassified non-coding RNA (204 nucleotides) under Hevea brasiliensis (rubber tree). Lineage: Eukaryota; Viridiplantae; Streptophyta; Magnoliopsida; Malpighiales; Euphorbiaceae. The record is from RNAcentral.
CCCUUCAGACAUGCAAAGUAAAGGAAUUGAAUGCAAGCAAAGCGGAAUAAACAAACUUUUGUGCAAUUGCAGUAAAUAUCCCAAGAAAAUGUAUCUGCAAUUUUGCAUUGCCACUUAUCUCAACAACCACCUUAGAAGAAACCUACAUAAUGGUUUUUUGCUCAUAAAAAGAUUAAUAAAAGCCUAUAUUCAGAAAGCCAAGUU